Python bivittatus (Burmese python) is the source of this 4433-nucleotide non-coding RNA. Lineage: Eukaryota; Metazoa; Chordata; Lepidosauria; Squamata; Pythonidae. The record is from RefSeq and is a predicted model, not a curated record.
AGAGAAUCAUAAACUGUAAUAGGACUAGGGUAUAUUUCUGACUAGGACAGAAAAAUACUAUGCUGAACAUAAGGCUUUAGGUAUUUACACAGUUGAAAAUAUGCUUAGCAGCAAGCAAGCAAGCGGGCUGUGUUUCUCUUCUAGCUCUGAAACUAUUAUCUGAUAGAAGAAUCUGGUGCAAUUCCAUAGAAGUGGGAGUUUUUUUUCUUCACAGAAAAAGGAAUUAUCCAAACGGAAGGAGGAAAGUGGAAAUAAAGCAUGACAGGAACAAAGAGGAAAAAGGAAAAUGCCAUAUGGAGGAAGAUCCACGCCUUUCGCUAUGAAGACUUCAAACUUUGGUGUGUAAGCAGGCUGCCUGUUUUGGAGUGGGCACCACACUAUUGUUGGAAAAUGGACCUGAUCCAUGAUAUAGUUUCUGGGAUGAUGCUGGCAGUUCAACAAGUGACGCAAGGGCUUGCUUUUGCUGUUCUAUCUUCAGUGCAUCCAGUAUUUGGUUUAUAUGGAUCACUCUUUCCUGCUAUUAUUUAUUCCAUAUUUGGAAUGGGUCGUCAUGUUGCCCCAGGAACCUUUGCUCUGACCUCCUUGAUUUCUGCAAAUGCUGUUGAGCGUCUUGUUCCUCCCAUAAACAGCAAUUCCACUACAGACAAUACAUCUGCAGUAUUGGGCUUAUCUGAGUUUGAGAUGCAGCGGAUUGGAGUUGCUGCAGCAGUUUCAUUACUGGGAGGGCUGAUUCAAGUAGCAAUGUUUAUGCUACACUUGGGCAGUGCUACCUUCUUGCUAACAGAGCCAGUGAUAAGUGCAAUGACAACUGGGGCAGCUACACACGUUGUGACUUCGCAAGUGAAGUACCUCUUGGGAAUGAAAAUGCCAUAUAUCUCAGGACCGCUGGGAUUCUUUUAUAUUUAUGCCUACAUCUUUGAAAACAUCAAGUCCGUUCAGUUGGAAGCUAUGCUGUUAUCUGUAUCUAGUAUUGCCAUACUAGUCCUUGUUAAAGAGCUAAAUCAAAAAUUUAAAAAGAAAAUUAAAAUGGUGCUUCCCAUUGAUUUGGUUCUGGUAAUUGCUACCUCUCUCAUUUGCUAUUCUGCUGAUAUGGAGCACAGCUAUGGCCUGGAAGUUGUGGGACAUAUUCCAAAAGGUAUCCCAGCACCAAGGUCUCCACCUUUGAAUAUCCUCCCUGAAGUAGUGACAGAGGCCUUUGGAGUUGCGUUAGUUGGUUAUGUGGCAUCCCUCGCUCUGGCCCAUGACUCUGCUAAAAGAUUUAAUUACUCUGUGGAUGAUAACCAGGAGUUUUUAGCUCAUGGUCUCAGCAAUGUGAUCCCUUCAUUUUUCUUUUGCAUACCAAGUGCAGCAGCCAUGGGGCGAACCAUACUUCUAUACAACACUGGAGCAAAAACACAGGUGGCUUGUCUGAUAUCUUGUAUAUUGGUGCUUGUGGUCAUCUAUGCAAUAGGACCAAUGUUAUACUGGCUACCCAUGAGUGUGCUAGCAAGUAUCAUUGUGGUGGGGCUGAAGGGAAUGCUGAUGCAGUUCCGAGAUUUAAAAAAAUAUUGGAGUGUGGAUAAAAUUGAAUGGAGUAUUUGGGUCAGCACUUAUGUGUUUACAGUUUGCUUUGCUGCUAAUGUAGGGCUAUUAUAUGGUGUCAUCUGCACAAUACUUAUAGUGGUUUUCCGUUUUUCAAGAGCAACAACACUGAGCUUGAAGCACAUGAAAGAAAUGGAAUGCAGAUUCAAAACAGAAGUAGACUUCGAACCUUUACAAUCAGUGAAAAUAGUGUCAGUGAAUAACCCAUUAGUCUUUCUGAAUGCUAAGAAGUUUUAUGCCAAGAUAUUAAAAAUAAUCCAGAAGGAGUGGACGUGUGCACAGCAGCUGUCAGAAGAUAUGAACAAGUAUGAACAGAACAUAUUGCUCACUUCAUUAUCCAAUGGAAACUGCCAUGAAGGGAAUAUGGAUCCUGCAUCUGCUGAUCUAAGAAAUUCAUCUUUACAACAGCAUCCCAGUGAAAAGCACAACCUAAUAUUUGACUGCAGUAACUUGACUUUCUUUGACUACACUGGUAUCUCUGUACUUAUUCAGAUCUACAUGGAUGCUCAAAAAAAUAAUAUAGAUGUUUUUCUGGCCAACUGCAAAGCUUCUUUGAAAAAGGCCCUGAAACUCAGUGGAAAGCUAGAAUCAGAGAAUGCUGUCUUCUAUGAGUCGGUUUCUUCAGCUGUAGCUGCCAUUCAGUUUAACAGGGUUGCCAUGGAAGCAGUUUAGAUUUGUCUUUCUGGUGUUAAAGUGAUGUUUUCCCUCUUCUCCGGCACAUACCUUGCUGUAUAAAUGAUCAAAAUCUCGUCAACAAUAUGGUCAAUGAUGCAGUAAGGGGCUGAAAUCUUCUCAGCUCCCAUUGGCCAUUAUAGGCGGUUAACUUUUGCAAGCUUAAUGAACAUACUGAGGUUUGAUGCCAAUCUGAUUCCAAUCUGUCUAUCAAACUGCUCACUUACAGAAGGAAUGGUGCCAAAGUAUUUCUUCAGAUGUUUAAACAUGGGAUUUUGUUGGUGAUAAUUGCCAAGUAUAUUUAACAAACCAACAGCAACAGUAUUUUCUGCCUAUAUUUCCUGAAAGUUUCUCUCUGAGUUAACAUCAGUGACAGGGUUUAUUUUUGUAACUUAGAUUCUUCUUUGAUGACCACAUAUUUUUCUAUGCAUGUAGAUUUAAAAAAUAGAAAGCAAUUUAAGAUAUUACUGUGAUGUAUGCUGUUUUAGCUGUCUUGUUGCAACUUAAAAGUAUGAUUUUGUGGAGAGAGAAUGCAACAAGAGAAUUUUGUAGUGCACUGUAUCUAAUCCAAAGUUUGUCACUUUUUACAUGCAAAUGCAAACUGUAAUAAAAGGCCAACUUUUUUCUUAAAUAUCUAGAAUUAACCAUCAUAUCUUGCCACUUCCACAUUCUGCUAAAGACAUUGACAUUCUUGAUUGUUUUGAGUGUUGUCUCUUUAUUGCAUUGUUUUAAUGAGGGAUAUAAAAGAAUUUCACUACAAAUUCCUUUGAGAGUAAAUUUUAAGUUUCUACAUCAGUAGAAUCUUGGCGAGGAAAACAGUUCCCAUAACCAAAGACUGACUAGCAUUUGUUCUUCUAUCAAAAAAUAUAUGACAGGGAUUGAAGAUUGCUCUUAUUAUUUUUACAUGCGCAAAGUGGCCAAGGGAUUGUUGCAACCUUUAAAGGCCAAAUGCACCUACCACAAAGCCAGACUUAUUUCCCUAUCUAGCACUUCAUGGACCUAUCAUGGGACAAAGCAUCUACCAUUCUUACAAAGGUAUCUUUAGAUUUAAAAAAGAUCCUCAUCAAAAACUGCUGAACCAGAAAAUGUCCUAACUGAAGCAAGCAGUAAAGACAGCAUAUUUUUGAGAGUGCACAGAGCCAUAUCUUAUCUAUCUUCUUAUCUAGCCAUAUCUUAUCUAUCUUCUUUUUAACUGACAUUGUUCCCCAAAAUAAUGUAUUGCCCCUUUUUAGUUUUGGGCUGUUGUGAAUGUAAAUUAAAUCAGCUCCAUUAAGUUCAGCAGAACGUACUAAUAUAAAGUGUUUGGGAGGAUCUAAAUGGGACUUAUUUUUAAACUACAUUGUGAAGGGAAGAAUCUGUAUUUUCAUAUGAAUAUAUUUGCAUGAGAAGGGCUAAAAUGGUUUGCAUGUACAGGGGCAGUUAUUAUAAUUGUAAAACCUCCCUCUUCCCUUCUCUGGAAUAGCUGUGAAAAAGUAAUCAAAAGCUUGUGGUUAGCUUUUGGUUUGAAUGAAAUAAACUAUGGCUUGUUUGAAACAGGAGACGCUUUUGGUCUCCCCUUGUGUUCAGAUUUGGUGAAUACUCAGGCAAUAUAAAAAUAUUAUAAAUAAAUGUAUUCAUCACCAUUUUCUGUAUGCAGUCAAGACCAAAGCACUUUUUGCCAACCUUUGGGAAAAGGUGCCCUGAAAAAUCCCUCUGCAGAAGCAUUUGCUUGAGAUGCCUCAUCUAGUAGUAUCUUCAUUUAGUUAAAUAUUCUUGUCUGGUUCCCCCAUUGGGCUGUAUUACUUUUCAUCAGCAAGUAGGCCAAUGGUGCCAAAGAGCCUGCAGGUGUCCAGCAAUUAAAUCUUUUACACUGAUUUUUUUAGGCUGAAGCUAACAAAGAUGAAAGGUAUUAGGCACAGUCCAUAAGAAAGUGUUCAGCAGUGAUAAACCCACAAUUUCUAUUUGCUGGCUUGAAAAGAGUUUGUAUGGCUUAUAAAACUAGUGGUAUAAUAUUGAUUAAAAUCCAAUCAAGGGAAAGAAUAUUUCUAUAUUGGUAUAGAGAGCAUCACCAGAAGGCCUGGUCAUUCAAUUUUCCUCCCUGUCUCAGGAUACUGGCUUUGCCGUAUUCCUAGGCUGUAGUUUUUCUGCUCUUCUGCAUUCUGCAAAAGACCUGCAAAAAACGAAAGAGGAGAGUGAGAAAA